This is a transfer RNA of Natranaerobius thermophilus JW/NM-WN-LF, 73 nucleotides long. It matches the Rfam family "tRNA". From Rfam's summary of the family: Transfer RNA (tRNA) molecules are approximately 80 nucleotides in length. The record is from Rfam. NCBI's taxonomy places the organism in Bacteria, Bacillati, Bacillota, Clostridia, Natranaerobiales, Natranaerobiaceae.
GGGCGGAUAGCUCAGCUGGGAGAGCACCUGCCUUACAAGCAGGGGGUCACAGGUUCGAGCCCUGUUCCGCCCA